UAGGGAAUCUUCCACAAUGGGCGAAAGCCUGAUGGAGCAACGCCGCGUGUGUGAUGAAGGGUUUCGGCUCGUAAAACACUGUUGUAAGAGAAGAAUGACAUUGAGAGUAACUGUUCAAUGUGUGACGGUAUCUUACCAGAAAGGAACGGCUAAAUACGUGCCAGCAGCCGCGGUAAUACGUAUGUUCCAAGCGUUAUCCGGAUUUAUUGGGCGUAAAGCGAGCGCAGACGGUUAUUUAAGUCUGAAGUGAAAGCCCUCAGCUCAACUGAGGAAUUGCUUUGGAAACUGGAUGACUUGAGUGCAGUAGAGGAAAGUGGAACUCCAUGUGUAGCGGUGAAAUGCGUAGAUAUAUGGAAGAACACCAGUGGCGAAGGCGGCUUUCUGGACUGUAACUGACGUUGAGGCUCGAAAGUGUGGGUAGCAAACA
This 427-nucleotide ribosomal RNA is filed under the name uncultured bacterium. RNAcentral's name for it is "bacterial SSU rRNA". It matches the Rfam family "Bacterial small subunit ribosomal RNA", at positions 355 to 774 of the family's 1533-position model. RNAcentral also lists the same sequence under 2 other names. The record is from RNAcentral.